CGCGCCUUGGCUACCGGGAGCGCGUAUCCUCCUCCGGCGAGACUGGCGAGAGAAGCGGGCCAUCGCUGCCCCGACCGCGAGCACUGAGGACAUCAUGAGCUCCAGAAAAGAUCCUGAAACAACAUUGGCCUGCAGGCUGUGUUCCACAUUGUGUUGGAGAGAGCAGGCUGUGCGUGCUGUAGGCACAGUGAGCCGCGUGACCAACGCGGUCCUUUAAUAGGCACAUUUUCCCUUUGAUCUUGAUGGCGUGUGAAUGAGGCUUGAAGUUGCUAACUUUAAGAAGCAAUGAAUCAUUAAAUUGAAAGCAUGUCCAACUCAUUGCACAGCUGUUGUGAAAAAACCUCCAGAAUGACUUUCCAGGAGUUUUGCACUAAUUAGAACUCAUUAGAGUUUAUU
Molecule: long non-coding RNA, 396 nt
Organism: Ictalurus punctatus (channel catfish)
Lineage: Eukaryota; Metazoa; Chordata; Actinopteri; Siluriformes; Ictaluridae
Source: Ensembl